AGUACACGGAAGAUGAAGCACGACGGACGACGAACGAAUGAACGUUACCACAAUGAUCUUUAUCUGGCAGCAUUAAAAA
RNAcentral lists this long non-coding RNA (79 nucleotides) under Polistes fuscatus (common paper wasp). RNAcentral's name for it is "uncharacterized LOC122514581". The record is from RNAcentral. Lineage: Eukaryota; Metazoa; Arthropoda; Insecta; Hymenoptera; Vespidae.